UCCCAGCCUACUCGCUAGGGGAUGAAGAGUGACAAACGGGGAGACCCUCGACGCUGUGCAAGCACUGCCAAGCAAUUGUCAAAAGAGUGUGUAAUCAACACUCUUACAGAAAUCCAAAGCACAGCACUAUGGGGGCUGCUCUGAAGAAUGUUAACUCCAUCACAGCCCAGUACAUCUUGGUAACAGCAAUUUUAGAUUAAAAAACCUUUUGCAUAAAACAAUGAUAAAUUAGGUACUACCUAAGGAUAGGUAUACAAGGAUUCCCUAACCAGCAAAUGAUGCAUUGGUUAGGAAAGUAGGGUUAUGGCAUUAAUUGUAUUAGAGGCAGCGUAUGAAAACAUUGCUUGACAGAGAUCUGUGGUGGAAAAGCAAUCAAUCAUCAAAGCAACACAGUGGAUGUGUAUAGGCAAGCUGCCAAGAAGCAGUGGAGAAGGCAAAGGACAAGUAAAAAGAGAGCAGUCUGCUUUAAACACACAGAACAUGCAGUUAAGCAGCUCUAGGUGCAAGGACCUAACACCAGAAAACAGUAAUACAUGGUUGAAAACUUUGGGGUUUGGGGUUGUUGGUUAUUUUGGGCAUGAGAGGUUUGUCUUGUUUUCCUUUUGUAAAGGGUAGUAUCAAGCUGUCAGGGAGACUGACAGAGCACUGUGCUUUACUGGCAUUAUUUUCCUUCCAAGAACACCAAGGACAGGAGCUGCUUUAAAUCCAUUUUCUUUGGAAUUGUGCAAUUUGGUGUUUCAAGGACCCUGUCUAAUAGAGGGUCAUGUCCACAAUUGCUCUUAGAGGAAAGGAAAUGGCAGGUGUCAGAGGUAAUCAUGUCUGAUCACUGCAGACACCAGUCAUGGGGCUGCUCCAAACCACAAUAGACCUGCCAUGGCAAUGACAAGUUGAGGACAUGCUGGGGAGACCAGGAGAUUGAAGGGCACGUUAGUCUUGUGACAGCAAUGAGAGCACCAUCCAGUAACUCACAGCUGCAAGUUUCACUAGAUUUAGCUUUUCUUCUUUUUUUGUCCCUUCUAGUGUAAGGACAAUUACUGCAAGCUGUUUAAGAUCAUAAAUAGAAACACUGUGGCUUGCUUAACUUUGGGAUCAUAAAUUAAAAGUGAAUAUAAGGAAAACAUUAGAAGCAUACCUGCUAUUCCCCUGAACAAGUCAGAUGAUUAGUUCAGAGAAAAGGGGAAAGCAGCUAGUGAAGACUGAAAGUUGCUGGAUUGCUGGCCAGGAAGCAGCUUUGGGUCUUCCAUUAGCCACCAACUCUGCAAGGACCAUGAAUGCUGUCCACCUGCUCAGCCACAGUGAACAGACCCAGCUGAGCCGUAAGAUCAGGUCACAUCCAAUACCUGGUAUGGCUCUUCUUGGUGAAAAGAUUUUACAUUGCCUAGUGCAGGAAAGGUCAAAAGUGUAGUAAAAAAGAAGAGGAAAGAGCUUUCUUCUGCAAGCUCAUAGGACUGAGUCCCAGGUCCUGGUUUUGUCCCUCAGGUAUGGUGUUAUUUUUCAAUGAACACAAAUCAUUCUCUCAGCAGCCUAAACUUGCCAAGUGCUGAGUGCACAGCUUGCUCCCAAAGCUACCGACAGCUCUAGCAACCCACACCUUUUACAAGCUGCACUUAAAGGGAUAACAAAGUUAGAAGUAGCAGAGAAGUACUGUUGCUGCACUAUGCAUAUCACCUCUCCCAGGUGAUGCUCAAAACAAGAGGCAAUACUGGCUCCUUCCCCCAAUAUAUCUUUUCUGUUUAAAAGGGCCACGAAUAAUGAGAACACUUACCAUUAAUACAGUGUACUCUGUACCACAGUGAACUGAUAAACACUGUCCCAAAUUCAUAUACAUUAAUAUCAAUUGCAAUAUAUUUAUACAUACACAUGCAUAGACACGAAUGCACACAUAUACACGAGCAUAUAUAUACAUAUAAAACUACUGGUGUGCUCUCAGAAUCGGGGUGAGGUAUACAAAAAAAACCACAAAUAGCAGUUUCAUGUUAUUUGCAAUGAAGUCUUUUAUUCAAGCUGUACCCAUUUAGAUGUCUCAUUUCCCUCCACAUGUUGCCCCUCAACAUUUGCAGAAAUCAGCCAUCAUUGAGAAGGAACAGACUGGUGAAGAUUUCAAGCAGCAGAAGAAGCUACAGCAGGAGACAGAAACUGUGGGAAACAGGAACACCAGUAGAGCCCCCUCACAGUGUUUUUUAACUUCAGUGUAGAUGAAGACCAAACAAGAUCAUUUAGUCCAGAGCAUGAUACCAGUUCAGAAGAAAGAGGGGG
This is a long non-coding RNA of Athene cunicularia (burrowing owl), 2256 nucleotides long. RefSeq lists it as uncharacterized. The record is from RefSeq and is a predicted model, not a curated record. NCBI's taxonomy places the organism in Eukaryota, Metazoa, Chordata, Aves, Strigiformes, Strigidae. The transcript has 2 exons.